Molecule: long non-coding RNA, 212 nt
Filed under: Helianthus annuus (common sunflower)
Lineage: Eukaryota; Viridiplantae; Streptophyta; Magnoliopsida; Asterales; Asteraceae
Description: sRNA HanXRQr2_Chr02g0071061
Source: RNAcentral
UGAUAAGUUCAACACAUAAGAAUCACCCAAGUUUAAAGUAUCAAGCCAUCACGUAUACAAGCAUGUUAUAGGAAUGUUCAUGUGUUUAAGCAAAAUGUUCAUGUGUAAGUUUUUGAUAAGUAAACAUGUUACACCCCAAAAGUGACAAAAGUUCAUGUGUAAGUUUCAAUAGGUAAACAUGUUACACCCCAAAAGUAGUAAAAGUAAAAAGG